GAUCAUGGCUCAGAUUGAACGCUGGCGGCAGGCCUAACACAUGCAAGUCGAGCGGUAGAGAGGUGCUUGCAUCUCUUGAGAGCGGCGGACGGGUGAGUAAUGCCUAGGAAUCUGCCUGGUGGUGGGGGAUAACGUUCGGAAACGGACGCUAAUACCGCAUACGUCCUACGGGAGAAAGCGGGGGAUCUUCGGACCUCGCGCCAUUAGAUGAGCCUAGGUCGGAUUAGCUAGUUGGUGAGGUAAAGGCUCACCAAGCCGACGAUCUGUAGCUGGUCUGAGAGGACGACCAGCCACACUGGGACUGAGACACGGCCCAGACUCCUACGGGAGGCAGCAGUGGGGAAUUUUGGACAAUGGGCGCAAGCCUGAUCUAGCCAUGCCGCGUGAGCGAUGAAGGCCUUAGGGUUGUAAAGCUCUUUCAGAUGGGAAGAUAAUGACGGUACCAUCAGAAGAAGCCCCGGCUAACUCCGUG
Molecule: ribosomal RNA, 472 nt
Filed under: uncultured bacterium
Lineage: Bacteria
Description: bacterial SSU rRNA
Rfam family: Bacterial small subunit ribosomal RNA
Source: RNAcentral